GCGAACGCUGGCGGCAGGCCUAACACAUGCAAGUCGAGCGGCCGUAGCAAUACGGCAGCGGCAGACGGGAGAGUAACACGUGGGAACGUGCCCUUUGGUUCGGAAUAACGCAGGGAAACUUGCGCUAAUACCGGAUAAGCCCUUACGGGGAAAGAUUUAUCGCCAAAGGAGCGGCCCGCGUCUGAUUAGCUAGUUGGUGAGGUAACGGCUCACCAAGGCGACGAUCAGUAGCUGGUCUGAGAGGAUGAUCAGCCUCACUGGGACUGAGACACGGCCCAGACUCCUACGGGAGGCAGCAGUGGGGAAUAUUGGACAAUGGGCGCAAGCCUGAUCCAGCCAUGCCGCGUGGAUGAUGAAGGCCUUUGGGUUGUAAAGUCCUUUUAGCGGGGAAGAUAAUGACGGUACCCGCAGAAAAAGCCCCGGCUAACUUCGU
Molecule: ribosomal RNA, 433 nt
Filed under: uncultured bacterium
Lineage: Bacteria
Description: bacterial SSU rRNA
Rfam family: Bacterial small subunit ribosomal RNA
Source: RNAcentral